This 253-nucleotide ribosomal RNA is filed under the name uncultured bacterium. RNAcentral describes it as "partial 16S ribosomal RNA". It matches the Rfam family "Bacterial small subunit ribosomal RNA", at positions 524 to 776 of the family's 1533-position model. The record is from RNAcentral.
UACGUAGGGCGCAAGCGUUAUCCGGAAUUAUUGGGCGUAAAGAGCUCGUAGGCGGUUUGUCGCGUCUGCCGUGAAAGUCCGGGGCUCAACUCCGGAUCUGCGGUGGGUACGGGCAGACUAGAGUGAUGUAGGGGAGACUGGAAUUCCUGGUGUAGCGGUGAAAUGCGCAGAUAUCAGGAGGAACACCGGUGGCGAAGGCGGGUCUCUGGACAGUUCCUGACGCUGAGGCACGAAGGCCAGGGGAGCAAACGGG